This 407-nucleotide ribosomal RNA is filed under the name uncultured bacterium. RNAcentral's name for it is "partial 16S ribosomal RNA". It matches the Rfam family "Bacterial small subunit ribosomal RNA", at positions 28 to 526 of the family's 1533-position model. The record is from RNAcentral.
GACGAACGCUGGCGGCGUGCUUAACACAUGCAAGUCGAACGAAGUGGCGAACGGGUUAGUAACGCGUAAUCAACCUGCCCUUCAGAGGGGGACAACAGUUGGAAACGACUGCUAAUACCGCAUACUGAUUGAGGGGUUUGCGUCUGAUUAGCUAGUAGGAGGGGUAACGGCCCACCAAGGCGAUGAUCAGUAGCCGGUCUGAGAGGAUGAACGGCCACAUUGGAACUGAGACACGGCCCAGACUCCUACGGGAGGCAGCAGUGGGGAAGAUUCCGCAAUGGGCGAAAGUCUGACGGAGCCACGCCGCGUGGAUGAUGAAGGCCUUCGGGUUGUAAAGCUCUGUUAAUCGGGACGCUGAACCGGAAUAGAAAGCCACGGCUAAUUACGUGCAAGCAGCCGGGUAAUAC